AUACUUUCCUAUAUGAUUCCCUUGAAUAUGAUUUGGAACAAACUUCCUAAGUCAUAUUCAUUUGCUUUGACCAAAGACUUUAGAAUCAUAUCUUAGAGUAUUCUCCCUCCACCAUGGAAGGUUAGAGAUCCCUUGUUGUGCAUUCAUAUGCCUACAUGACUAGAUAGCUGGACCCCAACAAUGCCGUGGACACUCCAAAGGAAUGCCGUUGACAGGAUCAAAGAUCAAGGACCUAAUCAUUAG
RNAcentral lists this long non-coding RNA (243 nucleotides) under Malus domestica (apple). RNAcentral describes it as "long non-coding RNA (MDOM_LNC009168)". The record is from RNAcentral. Lineage: Eukaryota; Viridiplantae; Streptophyta; Magnoliopsida; Rosales; Rosaceae.